GACCGUUUCCCUUUGACGACACGCAGCCAAUCGCUGCUAAGCAAGAGGGCGGUGCUUAGACGGGUGGGUAGCAACAGUUGCCCCGGUGAGGACGAGGCGCCAUAGUCACGGUAGUCGUGGCGACAAGAACCCAGCAACAAGAAUCAACAAUAACAAUUUGAACCAUUAAGAAAAUAAAACUCCGCGCCAAACUAAGAUCAUCCGUCAAGAAGCGAAAGAGGGAUUUGGGCUGUUGUCGUCAUGGCAACUUCAGGCUACACCGCUGAGGAGCUUCCGCCCUCCCAAUCACAAGGGGGCAACGUCACGACGUCCUCGUCGACCCAGCAGAAAGCCACUUCCACGUCCCAGUUCCUCUCCGACAUCCAGAGCUCGCCGGGAUCCGCUCCUGCACAGACGGCCUCGAUCAUAAGAGCACAGGCCACACCCCUUGUCACUCAAAAGAAAGUGGUUUUGACCACGCCCCCUCAAGGAGCCGUGUCAGGAGAGAUACAAAGCUCCGCCUCCCAGGCAGGAAACGGCCAGAGCGCCCAGCAGUACAUAGUGGUGACUGUUACCGAGGGCUCUCUUCACUCCAAUGACUCUGAGUCGAAUUCUCCUCCCGCGGGACAGACUGGUGUACCCACACAGGUAGUGCAGCAGGUGCAGACAGCACAGAGGUCAGUGGUUCAGGCCACAACCAAGAGUCAAAGUGGACAACUGGGUGUCAGCAACCUACACAUCACACCUGAGGUACACACACACACACACACACACACGCACACACACUUCAUAACUGCUUCAAGUAGAAU
This 788-nucleotide long non-coding RNA is filed under the name Sinocyclocheilus anshuiensis. RNAcentral describes it as "lncRNA (ENSSANG00000032028.1)". The record is from RNAcentral. Lineage: Eukaryota; Metazoa; Chordata; Actinopteri; Cypriniformes; Cyprinidae.